This 117-nucleotide ribosomal RNA is filed under the name Chinchilla lanigera (long-tailed chinchilla). Lineage: Eukaryota; Metazoa; Chordata; Mammalia; Rodentia; Chinchillidae. The record is from RNAcentral.
UUGUCUGGCCAUACCACCCUGGAUUCUCACAAUCUUGUCUGAUCUCGAAAGCUAAGCAGGGUCGGGGCUGGUUAGUACUUGGAUGGGAGACAUGGAGGGGCUUGCACGCCACUUAGA